GGUAGUUUCCCCAAAUGAGUUGGUUCUGCGGCAGGGAUAGGAGGUUGCUGCGUUGUGCGGAUGUGGUUCUGAGCACCGCACCGAGGACUUGCUCUGACUUUGUGUUCACGGGGCAUGCUCCUAGGAGGGAGGCGUGUGGUUGAGAGACCUGUGAGGGGUUCCAAGAUGGUCCAGGGGCUGGGAGGGGGAGAGGUAUCAUGAGAGACGUGGGAUGUCAGUCCACACAACAGUCUAUUCUUGAUUCUAUUUUGAAGGUAGCACCAGAGGAUUUGCUGCUGGACUGGAUGUAGGGUGCAGAAGAAAGAGAGGAAUCAAAGUUUGGGGCCUGGACAAGAGGAGACUGGAGCUUCCUUCUGCUGCGAGCAGUUAUGGAGAAGAGUCAGGACAGGACGAGGCUGGCCGAAUGCCUCACCCCCUUCAACAGAGAAGGUAGCUGAGACCCAUGUGAUUGCCUGACCCUCACCCUGAGCAAGCCACAGAGCGAGAACCCAGGCCUCCUGACUCUUCAGAGAUUUUGCAUGACAAGAUAGCACCGGGAAGGCGCCCUGACAGGUCUGGAAUGUGGGAGUGAGGGUGAGGGUGAUGACUUGUGCGCCCCAUUGGCUGGCCAGGGGCGCCUUUCGGCAGAAUUGCUCUCUCACCCAGUGAGGGCUGGGGACGGCUCGUGCUCUUCCUGCUGGGAGGGGCCCGGGCCCCUGGGUGGGGGCCUCACUCAGGCUGCCUCCCUGAUUCACUCCAGCCCUCCUGGAGGCCUGAGUCACUUUCUUUCCAGGCUAGAGCUGCUUGUUUGGCAAAUCCUUGGAUUCUGGUGGGGAGGAAUAGGAACUCCUGCCCAGGGCCGGUCCUGUGCAUGUGAGGCAGACAGCCACCCACACCUGCCCCAAAUCCCUGCCCUGGCCUGGAAUUCACUCACUUGUCUCUCCGUCCAUCCCACCCACCAUUCCCGAUGACAGUCUCCAUUCAGGUGUUCUGGAUGUUGGAGUUCACACACUGAGGCUCAGAGAGGGGCGAAAGCCUGGUUCAAGAGGGCCCAUCUGGGAAAUAGGGGAGCCAGGUGCGGCCUCAGUCUUGCCUGAAGCCAGGAGCUCUUCCAUUUAUGGUCACUACUGUCCCUAGGCCUGGCAGCCACCUUUCAACUCUUGGCUGUGAUUCUCUGACCUUGUAGAAAUUUGUUGAUUCCCUUUGUCCUGAGGUUGGUGGAGGAAGGAGACCUGGGAUGCGCAAGAGCAGCAGGGUAGAGGUCUUGGGUAGGCUGUGGACUCAGCCACAGCUCCCUGGAAGCAAUCAGGAUAUCAGAGAAGGCAGUUAGGUAAAGGAUGUCCCAGGUAGGGAGGCAGCCAGGGGAAUGGAACGAACUUGCAUUCAGGGGCCAGGAACAUAGGGUGGGGAGGAGGUUGGAUUGCAGAAGUUUCUGAAUACCUUUGGAAUGUUCUGGAUAGUCCUGGUGAGGGGCCCAGGGGUGCUACCUCUUCCCCCAAGAAGCCUUGCAGCACUAACUCCUCUGGUUUCUCAGCCCUGGCUGGCCCUCCUUCCCCAGCACAGCCUGUACUUCAGAAGGAAAGCCCCAGACUUCCUGGAUCAUGCCCUGUCUCCCCUGGGAGUGGGUAUUGGGUUGCUCACAAGAUAUCCAGAGUACUGCUAGAGACCUCGGGAUGUCAGGAAGUCCAGAGAGUUGCCCGAGAAGAGAAUCGCAGCUCAGAAGGACAGACAACAUCACAGGACAGGAGGACCACCUGUCCCUAAAGGAUGACCAGAGGGACAUUAAGAUGUAAAAAUUCAUCAUGCCAUCCCCUUCUGAAGAUCCAUCCUUACAGAUUCCUCAGAAAACCUGGAAUGGAACAACCAUUUGACCCACUCAUCCCACUUCUCAGUAUAUAUACCCAAAGGACUUAAAAUCAGCAUACUACAGUGACACAGCCACAUCCAUGUUUAUAGCAGCUCAAUUCACAAUAGCUAAGCUAUGGAACCAACCUAGGUGCCCUUCAACGGAUGAAUGGAUAAAGAAAAUGUAGUACAUAUACGUAUACACAAUGGAAUCUUACUCAGCCUUAAAGAAGAAUGAAAUUAUGGGCAUUUGCUGGUAAAUGGAUGGAGCUGGAGACUAUCAUGCUAAUCGAAAUAAGCCAGUCCUCAAAACCAAAGGCAGAAUGUUCUCUCUGAUAUGCGGAUGCUAACAUGCAAUAAGG
Long non-coding RNA from Marmota monax (woodchuck), 2186 nucleotides. RefSeq lists it as uncharacterized. The transcript is spliced from 3 exons. Lineage: Eukaryota; Metazoa; Chordata; Mammalia; Rodentia; Sciuridae. The record is from RefSeq and is a predicted model, not a curated record.